UACGAAGGGAGCUAGCGUUGUUCGGAAUCACUGGGCGUAAAGCGCACGUAGGCGGAUUUGUAAGUCAGGGGUGAAAUCCCGGGGCUCAACCUCGGAACUGCCUUUGAUACUGCAAAUCUCGAGUCCGAUAGAGGUGGGUGGAAUUCCUAGUGUAGAGGUGAAAUUCGUAGAUAUUAGGAAGAACACCGGUGGCGAAGGCGGCCCACUGGAUCGGUACUGACGCUGAGGUGCGAAAGCGUGGGGAGCAAACAGG
RNAcentral lists this ribosomal RNA (253 nucleotides) under uncultured bacterium. Its description in RNAcentral is "partial 16S ribosomal RNA". It matches the Rfam family "Bacterial small subunit ribosomal RNA", at positions 524 to 776 of the family's 1533-position model. The record is from RNAcentral.